GGUGAUGUCGAAGUCCUGGUAGAAGUUACCAGCGGAGGCAACGGCGACCAAGGAGCAAGCCAGCAAAAAAAACCUCAUUGCCAUGGUAUGCAAUAGCAGAAACGUUAACAAGCUUCGUAGGAGGGGGAAGCAGAUGACGAUGAGACGCGGGGUCGGCGGACGCGGCCAUGGUGCUGCUGUCUCAAGUGGUGGAGCGGCGUCGGACGAAAGCCUCGUGAUCAUGGUCCACUAAAGCGGGCGGCUCCUCCGAUAUUUGAAUGCGACUGGCCAGGUGGCGUCAUCAGGUACGAUGCAAUCCCCACAAAGCUCAUUUUUCUUCUUUUAUAGCGUGCAUGGCAAGCACUACAACAAUGUGAAGUUACGUUUCACCACCGGUUUAUAUGUUGCCCUUGCACUUAGAGCAGUUGGGACCCAUGGUCCCGGCCGUCCGUUCAAUCACAAGGCCAGUAGCGUCGGCGGGUGCAGAGUAGAAGGGUUGGGUGAGAGGAGAGACAUCGGGGUGGCUGGAUUUUCCAGCUGUUGUUAGAGUGUCGUUUUUAGAGACCGACGUUGACCGUGACGCGUUGUGAUCAUGCCGUUGUCGGGCGAUAAGGAAGUGACGAGGGGGUUUCCAACUAAAGGAGUUGCCUCCAUGGAGAGGAAACUUUAGAACGUUGCCGUGCAUUCAUGAGCUUCGUUCUGCGAUCUCAAGCCGCAUCAAGGCAUGGCCGGAUGGUAUGUAUUAAGCUAUGACGCCGAGUGCGUUUAGGCUGUCAUGGGUGAGUUAUAUUUUGCUUGCCUUCCUAAUCAAUGCGGAAAAGAUCCUUCGGCCCGCUCUCCCUUGUAAUUUGGCAGGCUCUAAUUCCUUUUGGUAGUGCGGAUUAGAACAUGCAGAUUUUCAUCUCGAGUCACAUUUUGAUCA
This is a long non-coding RNA of Musa acuminata AAA Group (dessert banana), 901 nucleotides long. RefSeq lists it as uncharacterized. NCBI's taxonomy places the organism in Eukaryota, Viridiplantae, Streptophyta, Magnoliopsida, Zingiberales, Musaceae. The transcript is spliced from 2 exons. The record is from RefSeq and is a predicted model, not a curated record.